UCCUUCUCGGACACCUUUCUCAAGCCUCAUCCGCAUGUUUACCAUUUCGGUAAAGUCACGGGGGGCACUAGCUAUCAUACGUUCAUAAUAAAAUGAACUCAGGGUCUUAAAAAAGAUCUUUGUCAUCUCUUUCUCCUCCAAGGGAGGAGUGAUCUGAGCAGCCAAUGCUCUCCAUCUUUGUGCGUUCUCUUUUAAUGUCUCUUUAUCCUUCUGAGACAUAGACCUCAGUUGGUCUCUAUCAG
RNAcentral lists this long non-coding RNA (242 nucleotides) under Lathyrus oleraceus (garden pea). Its description in RNAcentral is "Pisum sativum (pea) long non-coding RNA (PSAT_LNC001428)". Lineage: Eukaryota; Viridiplantae; Streptophyta; Magnoliopsida; Fabales; Fabaceae. The record is from RNAcentral.